UGGGGAAUAUUGGACAAUGGGCGAAAGCCUGAUCCAGCCAUGCCGCGUGUGUGAAGAAGGUCUUCGGAUUGUAAAGCACUUUAAGUUGGGAGGAAGGGCAUUAACCUAAUACGUUAGUGUUUUGACGUUACCGACAGAAUAAGCACCGGCUAACUCUGUGCCAGCAGCCGCGGUAAUACAAAGGGUGCAAGCGUUAAUCGGAAUUACUGGGCGUAAAGCGCGCGUAGGUGGUUUGUUAAGUUGGAUGUGAAAUCCCCGGGCUCAACCUGGUAACUGCAUUCAAAACUGACUGACUAGAGUAUGGUAGAGGGUGGUGGAAUUUCCUGUGUAGCGGUGAAAUGCGUAGAUAUAGGAAGGAACACCAGUGGCGAAGGCGACCACCUGGACUAAUACUGACACUGAGGUGCGAAAGCGUGGGGAGCAAACA
This 427-nucleotide ribosomal RNA is filed under the name uncultured bacterium. RNAcentral describes it as "partial 16S ribosomal RNA". It matches the Rfam family "Bacterial small subunit ribosomal RNA", at positions 355 to 774 of the family's 1533-position model. The record is from RNAcentral.